UAGGGAAUCUUCGGCAAUGGACGAAAGUCUGACCGAGCAACGCCGCGUGAGUGAAGAAGGUUUUCGGACCGUAAAACUCUGUUGUUAGAGAAGAACAAGGACGUUAGUAACUGAACGUCCCCUGACGGUAUCUAACCAGAAAGCCACGGCUAACUACGUGCCAGCAGCCGCGGUAAUACGUAGGUGGCAAGCGUUGUCCGGAUUCAUUGGGCGUAAAGCGAGCGCAGGCGGUUUCUUAAGUCUGAUGUGAAAGCCCCCGGCUCAACCGGGGAGGGUCAUUGGAAACUGGGAGACUUGAGUGCAGAAGAGGAGAGUGGAAUUCCAUGUGUAGCGGUGAAAUGCGUAGAUAUAUGGAGGAACACCAGUGGCGAAGGCGGCUCUCUGGUCUGUAACUGACGCUGAGGCUCGAAAGCGUGGGGAGCAAACAGG
RNAcentral lists this ribosomal RNA (429 nucleotides) under Gemmatimonadota bacterium. Its description in RNAcentral is "Gemmatimonadetes bacterium partial 16S ribosomal RNA". It matches the Rfam family "Bacterial small subunit ribosomal RNA", at positions 355 to 776 of the family's 1533-position model. The record is from RNAcentral. Lineage: Bacteria; Pseudomonadati; Gemmatimonadota.